This 192-nucleotide long non-coding RNA is filed under the name Mustela putorius furo (domestic ferret). RNAcentral describes it as "lncRNA (ENSMPUG00000030789.1)". The record is from RNAcentral. Lineage: Eukaryota; Metazoa; Chordata; Mammalia; Carnivora; Mustelidae.
GUGACCUUACUUCCUUUCCGCUCUCUAUGUGGUAUUAGGAAACAGUGAAAAGACGGCCAUCUGCAAACCAAGAAGAGGGUUCCUGACCGACACCAGAUCUGCCAGUCCCUGAGUCUUGGACGUGUGAGCCUCCAGAAUUGUGAGAAGGCUACAGAAGAUCUGGGAGAGGACCGAUCCAAGAACAGGAGCCCA